GACGAACGCUGGCGGCGUGCUUAACACAUGCAAGUCGAACGGAGAGGCCUGCUUUCCCUUGUGGAUUGCGGGUACUCGAGUGGCGAACGGGUGAGUAACACGUGAGUGAUCUGCCCCCAACUUGGGUAUAAGCCUGGGAAACUGGGUCUAAUUCCCGAUAGGACUGCAGGGUGGUGCCUGUGGUGGAAAACGAUUUUCUAGUGGUUGGGGAUGAGCUCGCGGCCUAUCAGCUUGUUGGUGGGGUAAUGGCCUACCAAGGCGGCGACGGGUAGCCGGCCUGAGAGGGUGGACGGCCACAUUGGGACUGAGAUACGGCCCAGACUCCUACGGGAGGCAGCAGUGGGGAAUAUUGCACAAAGGGCGGGAGCCUGAUGCAGCGACGCCGCGUGGGGGAUGACGGCCUUCGGGUUGUAAACUCCUUUCGACCGCGAGGAAGCCACCUGGUUAGAAGGGUGGUGACGGUAGUGGUAGAAGAAGCACCGGCUAACUACGUG
RNAcentral lists this ribosomal RNA (494 nucleotides) under uncultured bacterium. Its description in RNAcentral is "partial 16S ribosomal RNA". It matches the Rfam family "Bacterial small subunit ribosomal RNA", at positions 28 to 507 of the family's 1533-position model. The record is from RNAcentral.